This 536-nucleotide long non-coding RNA is filed under the name Chloebia gouldiae (Gouldian finch). RNAcentral describes it as "Erythrura gouldiae (Gouldian finch) lncRNA (ENSEGOG00005004004.1)". The record is from RNAcentral. Lineage: Eukaryota; Metazoa; Chordata; Aves; Passeriformes; Passeridae.
CAGGUUUUUCAAUACAGAGUUCACACUGGUUUCAUACGUGAUGAGGAGACAAGCAAACAGUGGAGAACAGCAGUAGAUACAAUGCAGAUAAGCAAGAAAGAAAAAUUAAGGAUGAAAAGAUGGAGCUGUUUCUAAAAAAUCAGAUGGUACACUUGGAAAUAAUACCAUAAAGGCUCAUUAUUUUAAACAACUAUUGAUUACACCCUGGGGAUUUUCACCAAUUCCACUUGAUUCUGCUUUUAAAAUGUUCUUUGGCCUGUUAAUGAUUAAAGAUUUGGAUUUCCCUCUUUACACUAAAUCAUACAUCAUCAUAAAACUAGUGCUCCUGACCCAUCUUCAUUUUAAUAGAGAAACACCUAUUUUAAAAAGCCUGGAAUUCCCUAUUGACAAACAGUGCGGUAACACAUACAAGAUUUAUCCUACUGUGCAACUUUCCCAAGGAGCAUCUGAGAAUUACUAAUGACAUGAGCAUCACUGAACCACUGAAUGAUGUAAGACCAACCACAUUUGUAGACAGAGAAGAGCUGAGGCUCCAC